GGACAGACCAAGACCAAGAAUAUGAUUCUCCUAUGCAGGGCGAGGUGCCAGGGUUGGACCAAAGCAUGUUUUAGAUCAGACAGUGCUUGAGGAUGAGUUCAGUGGGAUGGACCCCACCCCAAGACCUUUCAACCAGGGAGUGCAGAAUUCACAUCAAGGUCAGGCUCUGCCUACAACCUGCUGUGACCC
This 189-nucleotide long non-coding RNA is filed under the name Fukomys damarensis (Damara mole-rat). Its description in RNAcentral is "lncRNA (ENSFDAG00000032339.1)". The record is from RNAcentral. Lineage: Eukaryota; Metazoa; Chordata; Mammalia; Rodentia; Bathyergidae.